This 236-nucleotide ribosomal RNA is filed under the name uncultured bacterium. Its description in RNAcentral is "partial 16S ribosomal RNA". It matches the Rfam family "Bacterial small subunit ribosomal RNA", at positions 1256 to 1500 of the family's 1533-position model. The record is from RNAcentral.
CGACCGGAUCGGGGGAUCUCGAAAGCCUGUCCCAGUUCGGACUGGAGUCUGCAACCCGACUCCACGAAGUUGGAUUCGCUAGUAAUCGCGCAUCAGCCAUGGCGCGGUGAAUACGUUCCCGGGCCUUGUACACACCGCCCGUCAAGCCAUGGGAGCCGGGGGCGCCUGAAGUCCGGGACCGCGAGGACCGGCCUAGGGCGAAACUGGUAACUGGGGCUAAGUCGUAACAAGGUAGC